GAUGAACGCUGGCGGCGUGCCUAAUACAUGCCAGUCGAGCGAACAGACGAGGAGCUUGCUCCUCUGACGUUAGCGGCGGACGGGUGAGUAACACGUGGAUAACCUACCUAUAAGACUGGGAUAACUUCGGGAAACCGGAGCUAAUACCGGAUAAUAUAUUGAACCGCAUGGUUCAAUAGUGAAAGACGGUUUUGCUGUCACUUAUAGAUGGAUCCGCGCCGCAUUAGCUAGUUGGAAAGGUAACGGCUUACCAAGGCAACGAUGCGUAGCCGACCUGAGAGGGUGAUCGGCCACACUGGAACUGAGACACGGUCCAGACUCCUACGGGAGGCAGCAGUAGGGAAUCUUCCGCAAUGGGCGAAAGCCUGACGGAGCAACGCCGCGUGAGUGAUGAAGGUCUUCGGAUCGUAAAACUCUGUUAUUAGGGAAGAACAAAUGUGUAAGUAACUAUGCACGUCUUGACGGUACCUAAUCAGAAAGCCACGGCUAACUACGUG
This 497-nucleotide ribosomal RNA is filed under the name uncultured bacterium. RNAcentral describes it as "partial 16S ribosomal RNA". It matches the Rfam family "Bacterial small subunit ribosomal RNA", at positions 28 to 507 of the family's 1533-position model. The record is from RNAcentral.